This 604-nucleotide long non-coding RNA is filed under the name Homo sapiens (human). RNAcentral describes it as "non-protein coding VIM-AS1:7". Lineage: Eukaryota; Metazoa; Chordata; Mammalia; Primates; Hominidae. The record is from RNAcentral.
CGCGCUCCACCUCGACGCGGGCUUUGUCGUUGGUUAGCUGGUCCACCUGCCGGCGCAGCUCCCGCAUCUCCUCCUCGUAGAGGUCCCCCAGGCGCGACUUGCCUUGGCCCUUGAGCUGCUCGAGCUCGGCCAGCAGGAUCUUAUUCUGCUGCUCCAGGAAGCGCACCUUGUCGAUGUAGUUGGCGAAGCGGUCAUUCAGCUCCUGCAGCUCCACCUUCUCGUUGGUGCGGGUGUUCUUGAACUCGGUGUUGAUGGCGUCGGCCAGCGAGAAGUCCACCGAGUCCUGCAGGAGCCGCACCCCGGGCACGCUGCUCCGCAGGCGCACGGCAGAGGAGCGCGUGGCAUACACGCCGCCCGGGGACGAGGCGUAGAGGCUGCGGCUGGUGCUGGGGCGCAGCGCGCUGCCCAGGCUGUAGGUGCGGGUGGACGUAGUCACGUAGCUCCGGCUGGAGCUCGGCCGGCUCGCGGUGCCCGGGCCGCCGAACAUCCUGCGGUAGGAGGACGAGGACACGGACCUGGUGGACAUGGCUGCGGAGGGUGGCGAUGGCCUGGGCGGCGGCGGUGGCGCGGACUGGCUCCCGGAGAAGAGGCGAACGAGGGCGCG